RNAcentral lists this ribosomal RNA (440 nucleotides) under uncultured marine eukaryote. RNAcentral describes it as "partial 18S ribosomal RNA". It matches the Rfam family "Eukaryotic small subunit ribosomal RNA", at positions 122 to 566 of the family's 1831-position model. The record is from RNAcentral.
UGGAAGUACUUUAUACUGGGUAACCGUAGGAAUUUUAAAACUAAUACCUGCCUGAAAGUCCCACUUUUUGGAAACGCUGUAUUUUUUAGAUUAAAAACCAAUCCAGCUUGCUCCUUACCUUGGUGAUUCAUAAUAACUAAACGAAUCGUAUGACUUCAUGUCGACGAUGAUUCAUUCAAAUUUCUGCCCUAUCAACUUUCGAGGGUAAGGUUUUGGCUUACCAUGGUUACAACGGGUGACGGAAAAUUAGGGUUCGAUUCCGGAAAGGGAGCCUGAAAAACGGCUACCACUUCUACGGAGGGCAGCGGGCGCGCAAUUUACCCAAUCCGGACUCAGGGAGGAAGGGACAAAAAAUAACAAAACGGGACUUCCUUCUUUUUUUUGGAAUGAAAAAAAUUUAAACCCCCUUUCUGUCUCCCCCUUGGGGGGGAUGUCUGGGU